RNAcentral lists this ribosomal RNA (465 nucleotides) under Vreelandella stevensii. Its description in RNAcentral is "partial 16S ribosomal RNA". It matches the Rfam family "Bacterial small subunit ribosomal RNA", at positions 338 to 795 of the family's 1533-position model. The record is from RNAcentral. Lineage: Bacteria; Pseudomonadati; Pseudomonadota; Gammaproteobacteria; Oceanospirillales; Halomonadaceae.
CCUACGGGAGGCUGCAGUGGGGAAUAUUGGACAAUGGGGGCAACCCUGAUCCAGCCAUGCCGCGUGUGAGAAGAAGGCCCUCGGGUUGUAAAGCACUUUCAGUGAGGAAGAACGCCUGGUGGUUAAUACCCAUCAGGAAAGACAUCACUCACAGAAGAAGCACCGGCUAACUCCGUGCCAGCAGCCGCGGUAAUACGGAGGGUGCGAGCGUUAAUCGGAAUUACUGGGCGUAAAGCGCGCGUAGGUGGCUUGAUAAGCCGGUUGUGAAAGCCCCGGGCUCAACCUGGGAACGGCAUCCGGAACUGUCAAGCUAGAGUGCAGGAGAGGAAGGUAGAAUUCCCGGUGUAGCGGUGAAAUGCGUAGAGAUCGGGAGGAAUACCAGUGGCGAAGGCGGCCUUCUGGACUGACACUGACACUGAGGUGCGAAAGCGUGGGUAGCAAACAGGAUUAGAUACCCGGGUAGUC